RNAcentral lists this microRNA (19 nucleotides) under Apis mellifera (honey bee). Its description in RNAcentral is "ame-miR-92c-3p". Its record names the gene ame-miR-92c-3p. The record is from miRBase by way of RNAcentral. Lineage: Eukaryota; Metazoa; Arthropoda; Insecta; Hymenoptera; Apidae.
AUUGCACUCGUCCCGGCCU